RNAcentral lists this transfer-messenger RNA (345 nucleotides) under Acidobacteriota. RNAcentral describes it as "g DTPS01 X1 Standard tmRNA". It matches the Rfam family "transfer-messenger RNA". Rfam says of the family: Bacterial tmRNA, also known as 10Sa RNA or SsrA, is named for its dual tRNA and mRNA-like properties. Lineage: Bacteria; Pseudomonadati. The record is from RNAcentral. RNAcentral also lists the same sequence under 1 other name.
GGGGGCGAAACGGUCUCGACGGGGAUGUGCGGGAGGUGGUCGCGCGCCGAGUUCCGGGCUCUCGUAAAACGACCGGAAACCCACAACUGCCAACAAUAACUUGGCUCUGGCGGCGUAAGCUGCCACGUCCUUGAUGGGAGGGCCCGCGGCCUUUCAAGGACGACGCUAGCGGGAUGCUCCGGCGCGGCUCGCCCCGGCCGCGCCGGCUAAGAGGCAGAGGGCUAGCGACCCGACGAAUUGCCGGCUCCAUUGGCGGGAAGCGAAAUCCUGGGAACCGGCUACGCGCGUAGAAGCCGCCUUGGCCGGCAUUUCCGGACGCGGGUUCGACUCCCGCCGCCUCCACCA